UGGGGUAUAGCUCAGUGGUAGAGCUCUUACUCAGCAUGCAUGAGCCCUGGGUUCAAGCUCCAGUGCUACAA
This 71-nucleotide transfer RNA is filed under the name Fukomys damarensis (Damara mole-rat). It matches the Rfam family "tRNA". From Rfam's summary of the family: Transfer RNA (tRNA) molecules are approximately 80 nucleotides in length. Their secondary structure includes four short double-helical elements and three loops (D, anti-codon, and T loops). The record is from Rfam by way of RNAcentral. Lineage: Eukaryota; Metazoa; Chordata; Mammalia; Rodentia; Bathyergidae.